Long non-coding RNA from Oncorhynchus tshawytscha (Chinook salmon), 1774 nucleotides. The record is from Ensembl. Lineage: Eukaryota; Metazoa; Chordata; Actinopteri; Salmoniformes; Salmonidae.
CCCGUGCUAAGGACUAUUCAACGCUGGUCUGACCAAUCGGAAUCCACGAUUCAGGAUUAUUUUGAUCACGUGGACUGGGAUAUGCUCGGGUAGCUUGCGAAAAUAAUCUAGAUGCAUACACGGAUACGGUGACUGAGUUUAUAAGGAAGUGUAUUGGAGAUGUAGUUCCCACUGUGACUAUGAAAACCUACCCUAACCACAGUAGCAUUCGCACGAAACUGAAAGCGCGAACCACCUCAUUUUCCCCUUGGCAAGGUGACUGGGAAUAUGGCAGAAUAUAAACAGUGUAGUUAUUCACUCCGCAAGCUAACAAGCUAAACGUCAUUAUAGAGAUAAACUGGAGUCACAAUUCAACGGCUCAGACACGAGACGUAUGUGGCGUCGACUACAGACAAUCACAGACUACAAAAGUAAAACCAGCCACGUCGCAGAAGCCGACAUCUUGCUUCCGGACAAGUUAACCACAUUCUUUGCUCGCUUUGAGGAUAACACAGCGCCACGGACGUGGCGCGCUACCAAGGACUGUGGGCUCUCCUUCUCCGUGGCCGACGUGAGUAAAACAUUUAAAUGUGUUAACCCUCGCAAGGCUGCCGGUCCAGACGGCAUCCCAGCCGCGUCUUCAGAGCAUGUGCAGACUAGCUGGCUGGUGUGUUUACGGGCACAUUCAAUCUCUCCCUGUCCCAGUCUGCUGUCCCCACAUGCUUCAAGAAGGCCACCAUUGUUCCUGUACCCAUGAAGGCAAAGGUAAUUGAACUUAAUGACUAUCGCCCCGUAGCACUCACGUCUGUCAUCAUGAAGUGCUUUGAGAGACUAGUCAAGGAUCAGAUCACCUCUAUCUUACCUGCCGCCCUAGACCCACUUCAAUUUGCUUACCGCCCCAAUAGAUCCACAGAUGAUGCAAUCACCAUCACUCUGCACACUGCCCUAUCCCAUCUGGACAAGAGGAAUACCUAUGUAAGAAUGCUAUUUAUUGACUAUAGCUCAGCAUUCAACACCAUAGUACCCACCAAACUCAUCAUUAAGCUUGAGGCCCUGGGUCUGAACCCCGCCCUGUGCAACUGGGUCCUGAACUUCCUGACGUGCCGCCCCCAGGUGGUGAAGAUGCACAAUUGAAAGCAUCCUGUGAGGCUGUAUCGCUGCCUAGAACGGCAACUGCACCGCCCGCAACCGCAAAGCUCUCCAGAGGGCAGUGAGGUCUGCCCAACGCAUUACCGGGGCAAACUACCCGCCCUCCAGGACACAGGAUGAUGAUGUCACAGGAUGGCCGAAAAGAUCAGCAAGGACAUCAACAACCAUUCACCCCACUAUCAUCCAGAAGGCGAGGUCAGUACAGGUGCAUCAAAGCUGGGACAGAGACUCAAAAACAACUUAUAUCUCAAAGCCAUCAGACUGUUAAACAGCCAUCACUAACACAUUAGAGGCUACUGCCUAUGAGAUGACUAAUGCCAGGUAUGUGCAAACCUGGUGGCCAACUACAAGAAAUGUCUGACCUCUGUGAUUGCCAACAAAGGUUUUGUCACUAAGUACUAAGUCAUGUUUUGCAGAGGGGUCAAAUACUUCUUUGCCUCAUUAAAAUGCAUAUUUGACGUGUUUUUCUGGAUUUUCUUUUUGUUAUUCUGUCUCUCACUGUUCAAAUAAACCUACCAUUAAAAUUAUAGACUGAUAAUUUCUUUGUCAGUGGGCAAACAUACAAAAUCAGCAGGGGAUCAAAUACUUUUUUCCCUCAAUGUAUGGAUAUAGUCUUAUAUGUACAGUUGAAGUCGGUGGUUUACAU